CAAGUCGAACGGUAAGGUCUCUUCGGAGAUACACGAGUGGCGCACGGGUGCGUAACGCGUAUGCAACCUACCUUUAACUGGGAAAUAGCCCCGAGAAAUCGGGAUUAAUGUCCCAUACUAUUCUGAGAAUGCAUAUUCUUAGAAUGAAAGCUCCGGCGGUUAUUGAUGGGCAUGCGUGACAUUAGCUAGUUGGUAAGGUAACGGCUUACCAAGGCUACGAUGUCUAGGGGUCCUGAGAGGGUUAACCCCCACACUGGUACUGAGACACGGACCAGACUCC
This 280-nucleotide ribosomal RNA is filed under the name uncultured bacterium. Its description in RNAcentral is "partial 16S ribosomal RNA". It matches the Rfam family "Bacterial small subunit ribosomal RNA", at positions 58 to 339 of the family's 1533-position model. The record is from RNAcentral.